UACAGAGGUCCCAAGCGUUGUUCGGAUUCACUGGGCGUAAAGGGUGCGUAGGUGGUGGGGUAAGUCGGAUGUGAAAGCUCGGAGCUCAACUCCGAAAUGGCAUUGGAAACUACCCUGCUAGAGGAUUGGAGGGGGGACUGGAAUACUUGGUGUAGCAGUGAAAUGCGUAGAUAUCAAGUGGAAUACCAGUGGCGAAGGCGAGUCCCUGGACAAUUCCCGACACUGAGGCACGAAAGCUAGGGGAGCAAACAGG
RNAcentral lists this ribosomal RNA (253 nucleotides) under uncultured bacterium. RNAcentral's name for it is "partial 16S ribosomal RNA". It matches the Rfam family "Bacterial small subunit ribosomal RNA", at positions 524 to 776 of the family's 1533-position model. The record is from RNAcentral.